UGAGCUUUAUUGAAGCACUUCGUUUACACCGAAGAGAUGUCCGUGAAAAUCAGACCAUUUUGA
This 63-nucleotide transfer RNA is filed under the name Fejervarya sp. BFM-2007. Its description in RNAcentral is "partial tRNA-Val". The record is from RNAcentral. Lineage: Eukaryota; Metazoa; Chordata; Amphibia; Anura; Dicroglossidae.